Molecule: long non-coding RNA, 1501 nt
Organism: Peromyscus maniculatus bairdii (prairie deer mouse)
Lineage: Eukaryota; Metazoa; Chordata; Mammalia; Rodentia; Cricetidae
Source: RefSeq, a predicted model, not a curated record
CUCCUAAGGCCCCCAUGCCGCUGAGAAGUCUCUCACACUGCGGAUCUCUCACACGGCGAGUUCAACUCCCUGAAGGCAAUGCUUGGCUCCUGGUUCUGAGUGUAUUUGAUGAAGCCUACAAACUCUGAGGGGAAGAGAGCCUGCCCAGCAGAGGCCACUGCAUCAUGAAGCACCAGUGACCAGAACAAAAAUGAUGUGAUGUGCCAGAGCAGUGCCCAUCAGGCAGGGGACAUCUCCCUGAACUACAAAUACAAGCAUGGGCUGGGAAUCGGCUGAAAUUCCAAGACUCUGAAAAGCUGUAGAGACACAGAAUUGCACAUAGAUGGAGGUGGAGUUGGGGACAGUACUUCCGCGAUGGGCAUAAUCUUUUGGUCUCUCCUCUGCUUGUCCUGUUGAUGCCGUGAGAGAUGGUGACUGGAAGACCUGUUGACCCGUCUCCUGUGUGCAGUGGAAGAGUCUACGGAAAAAAAGGAUGGGGUAAUUUGUGUCUGAAGAUGAGGUGGCACCUUCUGGAAGGAGACGCACUGGACGGACCAACGCGGCCUCAGGAAAGUGACCGUCCGUGGUUCAGGCACAGAUCUGGCAAAUGUAAGACAGCCCAGAGCCACAGUCUCACGCCUGUACUCCUGAACCAAGAGAAGACGAGGAAGAGGAAAACACAGAAUCCCAGCCAAGAGUGAAGUGCCUGCAGGACAAGGGAAAUAGCCUCAACAGAGGCAGGUCCCCCAUUUCCGUCCCCUCUUGGACCAGUGUGCCCGGGACACGGGCUGGAGGGCCACACCACACAAGCUUCCUUUCGUUUUUUGGAGGUUGAAGUCUGUGAUCUAGAUGCUGGUGGGACUGGUCUCCUCCGAGGCCUCUGUGUCUGGUCUAUGGACGGCCACCCUCUUGCUGCCUCUUUGCUCCUGUCCCUUGGUGUUUCUCUUUAUCACAAGAACACCACCUAUACCAGGCUAAUGUCUACCCACUGCCUCACUCUAACCUAAUCACCUUCCUGAAAAUCCCAUAUUCCCAAACAGACAGCUUCCCGCAUGCCUACAUAAGCCUUUUUUUUUUUCCUUUACCUUAAUUACAUCUUUGUAGACACACAUUCUGGAGCACUAGGGUUGGGUCUUUAACAUGAACCUAGAGGACACAAUCUAGACCCCAUUGCUUUCUUGAUGCUGCUUUGAUACAUAAGGGCUGGUGAUGUAUCUGUGGUUCAUAGAUGUAGGCUGACUCUUAGGCGUAGCCUAAAGGAAGAGUUGUAGGAGAUGAGAGCCAUCUAGACAGAGAUGUUUGUCCACCUAGACAGAGAUGUUUCAGGCACUGAAAAUUGUAAGAAACUAGUUUUAUUUGGGCUGAACUAGUUUUUAACUUUUGUGGUGAACAUUUCAGACAGGCUUCACAUGGAGAAAAUAGUACAACUAUUUUCUAAUAGUACAACUGCCUGUGGUCCUUGACUUGGUUCAACAAUUGUGAUUCUGAACCUCUUGUUCCAUCCAUCCUUCUUUUUGCUUAA